GGAGUUAGCCGGUGCUUCUUCUGUGAGUGAUGUCCUUCCUGCCGGCUAUUAACCCGCAGGCCUUCUUCCUCACUGAAAGUGCUUUACAACCCGAAGGCCUUCUUCACACACGCGGCAUGGCUGGAUCAGGGUUGCCCCCAUUGUCCAAUAUUCCCCACUGCUGCCUCCCGUAGGAGUCUGGGCCGUGUCUCAGUCCCAGUGUGGCUGAUCAUCCUCUCAGACCAGCUACGGAUCGUCGCCUUGGUGAGCCGUUACCUCACCAACCAGCUAAUCCGACAUAGGCUCAUCCGAUAGCGCGAGGCCCGAAGGUCCCCCGNUUUCCCCCGUAGGGCCGUAUGCGGUAUUAGCCUGGGUUUCCCCAGGUUAUCCCCCACUACCGGGCAGAUUCCUAUGCAUUACUCACCCGUCCGCCGCUCGCCACCAGGGAGCAAGCUCCCCGUGCUGCCGCUCGACUUGCAUGUGUUAGGCCUGCCGCCAGCGUUCAAUCUGAGCCAUAAUCAAACUCUGA
This 508-nucleotide ribosomal RNA is filed under the name uncultured bacterium. Its description in RNAcentral is "partial 16S ribosomal RNA". The record is from RNAcentral.